This 838-nucleotide long non-coding RNA is filed under the name Erythranthe guttata (spotted monkey flower). RNAcentral describes it as "long non-coding RNA (EGUT_LNC000186)". The record is from RNAcentral. Lineage: Eukaryota; Viridiplantae; Streptophyta; Magnoliopsida; Lamiales; Phrymaceae.
GUACAACACAUUUACUCUUUUUUUUUUUAUUCAUUUUCGUAUUUUUUCAGUAUUUUAAGAAUCUAUUUUUUUCCAUUAUUUUCUACGUGAUAUCAAAAAUUAUGAAUUUAAAAAAAAAAAUCCGUCUCAGUCAUGUAUAGACAUUCAUAGGAAACUAUAGGAAACUGUAGUAAUCUGUAGUAACCUGUAGUAAUCCAUAGACAUCUAUGAUAGCAUAUUCUUGAAACCCUAGUUUCUCCUUUUAACCCUAGCCGCCAGACACCCAUAGUAACCCAUAGACAUCAAAUCGAAUUUUUUUGGAUUUAUCCCACCAAACCCUAGAUCCACCCACCAAACCCUAGAUCCGUGAUGCCGAAAGCCACCCACCCCAUCCACGCCUCUAAGGAUACCACCGGCCACCCCACCCACGCUGCCAUCACAUAUCCGCGCAUCACCGCACCACCAACACCAUUCUCGAACUCCGAGCGUCGCCGCUGGGCAGCGUUACCCUCGAAGCCGCCUCCGCUACGCAUUCCAUUGCCGCUUCAGAUCCACCGCCUCCACCAUAGAUCCGACGCGCCACCGCUACCCACUUCGUCGGCGCCUUCACCAUAGAUUCACCGCAACCGCAGCCGCCGCCUUAAUAUUCAGAUCUGCCCACUCCGCCGCCGCCUUCUCGUCCGCCGCCACCCCGUUUGCUUCUCCAAUCAAAAAACUAGUUUAGAGAAAGGGAGAGAAAAAGAGAAAAUAAAAUGAGAGACAGAGAGAGAAAGAAAGAAAACGAUGGAGAAAGAGGGAGAGAAAAGGAGAGAAAGGAAGAGACGGGAGAGGGAGGGGAUAGAGAGAGAAUGAGGGGAGA